This is a transfer RNA of Camelus ferus (Wild Bactrian camel), 73 nucleotides long. It matches the Rfam family "tRNA". Rfam says of the family: Transfer RNA (tRNA) molecules are approximately 80 nucleotides in length. Their secondary structure includes four short double-helical elements and three loops (D, anti-codon, and T loops). The record is from Rfam. NCBI's taxonomy places the organism in Eukaryota, Metazoa, Chordata, Mammalia, Artiodactyla, Camelidae.
GAGGAUAUAGCUCAAUUGAUAGAUUGCAUGCUUAGUAUGCAUGAAGUCCUGGGUUCAAUCCCCAGUACUUCCU